RNAcentral lists this ribosomal RNA (221 nucleotides) under Sodalis-like symbiont of Philaenus spumarius. Its description in RNAcentral is "partial 16S ribosomal RNA". It matches the Rfam family "Bacterial small subunit ribosomal RNA", at positions 1245 to 1476 of the family's 1533-position model. Lineage: Bacteria; Pseudomonadati; Pseudomonadota; Gammaproteobacteria; Enterobacterales; Bruguierivoracaceae. The record is from RNAcentral.
GGCAGCGACUGGGUGACCAGAAGCAAAUCUCUAAAGCCGAUCUCAGUUCGGAUUGGAGUCUGAAACUCGACUCUAUGAAGCUAAUCGCUAGUAAUCGCGCAUCAGCCAUGGCGCGGUGAAUACGUUCCCGGGCCUUGUACACACCGCCCGUCAAGCCAUGGAAGUUGGAAUCGCUAGUAAUCGCGCAUCAGCCAUGGCGCGGUGAAUACGUUCCCGGGCCU